GGGGACGAAAGGGCUCGACAGCGGUUUCGUCGUCCGGUCACGCGUGCCGAGGCGCCGCGCCCUCGUUAAUCCCGCGGCAAACCUGCAACUGGCGAAGAGGAAUUCGCCCUCGCCGCUUAAGCGGUGACGUCGGUCUCCAGCCUCCCUCGGACGGGCGGAGAUCGGCGCCGUGCAGUCCGGGUGCCCGGGCCGGGUCGCCGGGACCGGUCCGCCAAGACAACUCCGGCUGGCGCGCGCCCUGGCCUGUCGUUCGGCAGGGGCGCGGGCGAGACCUCAAGGAACGACUACGCACGUAGUGGGGCCGGGUGCGGGCCGACUGGACGGGGAGUUCGAUUCUCCCCCGUCUCCACCA
Molecule: transfer-messenger RNA, 352 nt
Filed under: Chloroflexota bacterium
Lineage: Bacteria; Bacillati; Chloroflexota
Description: Chloroflexi bacterium transfer-messenger RNA
Rfam family: transfer-messenger RNA
About the family: Bacterial tmRNA, also known as 10Sa RNA or SsrA, is named for its dual tRNA and mRNA-like properties. Its role is to liberate the mRNA from a stalled ribosome.
Source: RNAcentral